Molecule: ribosomal RNA, 429 nt
Filed under: Bacteroidota bacterium
Lineage: Bacteria; Pseudomonadati; Bacteroidota
Description: Bacteroidetes bacterium partial 16S ribosomal RNA
Rfam family: Bacterial small subunit ribosomal RNA
Source: RNAcentral
UAGGGAAUCUUCGGCAAUGGGGGGAACCCUGACCGAGCAACGCCGCGUGUGUGAAGAAGGUUUUCGGAUCGUAAAGCCCUGUUGUUAAGGAAGAACGAGUGUGAGAAUGGCAAGUUCAUACUGUGACGGUACUUAACCAGAAAGGGACGGCUAACUACGUGCCAGCAGCCGCGGUAAUACGUAGGUCCCGAGCGUUGUCCGGAUUUAUUGAGCGUAAAGCGAGCGCAGGCGGUUAGAUCAGUAUGAAGUUAAAGGCAGUGGCUCAACCAUUGUAUGCUUUGUAAACUGUUUAACUAGAGUGCAGAAGGGGAGAGUGGAAGUCCAUGUGUAGCCGUGAACUGCCUAGAUAUAUGGAGGAACACCGGUGGCUGAAGCGGCGCGCGGGUCUGUAACUAACACAGAGGCUCGAAAGCGUGUGGCGCGAACAGG